This 2566-nucleotide long non-coding RNA is filed under the name Heterocephalus glaber (naked mole-rat). Its description in RNAcentral is "lncRNA (ENSHGLG00100046926.1)". Lineage: Eukaryota; Metazoa; Chordata; Mammalia; Rodentia; Bathyergidae. The record is from RNAcentral.
GCUUUCCAGCAGAGACAUACAAAACACAUGGAUUACUUUAAUUCUCCAUUGACUUUCCUUGUUGAUCCAUUUAGAUUUAAUUUUUUUCCUCCUCUCCAAAUUGUUUACAUGGUUCAAACCAUCUGGGGAGCUUUAGAAAAUCCUCAUAUCCAGACUACACCUCAGGCCAAUUAAAUCAGAAUUUCUAGGACUGGGGCCAAGGUACUGGUAUCAGCAUUUUUUUAAAAAGCUCCCUAGGAGAUUUCAAUGUACAGCCAAGACUGAGAACCACUGUUUCAGAUCAAACUAUGUAAAAUCUGAUUAGAAGAACCCCAGACUGGAAGCCAGUAGUAAAUAAAUAAACAUGCAGGUCUGGAAUUUCUUAAUGGACACACCAUUAAAUCCUGUGAACUCCCUUCUGAUUGACUGUUCUUUUCCUAACUUGUUUAAGGGACACAAUUUCCAGUGAACUUGAAACUACAGUCUGAAAAAAAUCAUAUGCAAAAAAUGAGGCUCCUUGCUGCUGCAGGAUUCAGAAAGAACCGUGCAUCUUGGAAGACAUUUCAGGAACCUCCAGGAAAACCCAGAGACAACAGAGAGACAGAAACAAGGACAGCAGAGGUUUGUGACAGUUAAGCUGGACUAUUGACUUUUUUCACUUGAGAGCUGCCAGAAGUUUUAUCAGGUAAUUGGCACUGAAAGAACAAAAAAGAAAACAAAAAAGUGUCUCCUUCUGGGAAAGAAGUAGGGAAGUCUACUAAGGAAGAAAGGAAGGUAGCAGUCAAAGGCAGUUGGAAGAUGGUGCCCCCCUCACUUUCAUCUGCUCUUUGAAUGAUCGCACCUGACGGAUGAAGUCUCACAUGACACCCAGAAACCUACCUGGCAGAGAGUCUGGGAAAUGGGAUUUCCACUAUCCAGUUUUUGCUUAACGAAAGUAGGUACAUUCGGAGGAGGUGGUAAUGGAUGCAGAGCUCAGGCCAAUCUCAAAACACACCUGGUGAAGAUAAGCUUGGAGUAGGAAGGGUGGUGGAGAGGAUCGGGUGCGAAAGACACAAUAAUAGAGAGGUCUGGAAGAAUUACUGGGAUGGCUGGAUAGGGAAAACUACGGAAGAGGGGGAACAAUCCUCUAGGUAAUGAGCAUGGACUGUGAACGUUGGCAGGGAGUAGGAAUGUCUUAAGGCAAGACACACCAAUGUGGAGGUUAUUGCAUUAAUUAAAGUGAGUCCCAUCGGUGGCUUGGAGACAAUAGUGAUAGAAAUGGAGAGAUGAUUUGGAGAGCUAAUUAAAAUACUGCAAUCAUUUUAAUGUUGUCCUUUUCUUUUUUCAUGGUGGUUCUUCUUUCUGGGGUAACCCUGUAUUCUAGUUCUUUGCUUGUUUCACUGUAAGGCCUAUAGGGUAUUACAGGGCUCAUCACCCUCCUCUCCCUGCCCACCGUCUGUAGUAGUUGUGGUCAGGGCGGCUCCUGUCCUCAGGUAGUUCAUGUGACUAUUGCCUUCUCAGUUAGAAAGGGAUCUUAAAGAGCAGGAAUCAUGUUUUAUGUGUAUUUGAUGCACAUUUGAACAUUCCAAUGAAGGCACAUGGAGUUAAUAAUACAUUUGUUGCAGAGACUCCAUAUCAAAAUGUCAUUUCCAAUGUUACGUCUAAGCCAGUUGCAUGACUCUUACAACUCCUAUGUGGAGGGUCUGAAAAAUGGAGUGGAGGAAGGAUUUUAAAGAGGAUUUAUCGGCAAGGAGCCGUGCUGUGAGUCUAUCUUUCUCCAUGGGGAGAGGAUGAUGAACGCAAUCCUAAGCCUAGCACAAGGGACUUACAGACAACACUCACUGAAUUUGUUAUGAAAUUAGCAUAUCGAGGAGACCAGUGUUUGGCUCUUGUCUGAGGAAUCAAACAAGCAUGAGAUCUGCUGCCUUGCUUUAGGUGGAUGGACUGCAGGAGGAUGCAUGACUCAUCAUCAAGGGAAUUUCAGAUGAGAAGUCUUCUAAUGGAGCUCUUUCUAAGAAUCCACAAAAUAGGUCUUGAGAGUGUCAUAAGAGAGUAUGGGACUGUUUUGUGACAGAACUACAUAGCCAACGAUUUUCCUGCCCUGUCCCAACUGUCUCCUCAACACUCAUUGACUUUGGAGAAAAGCAUCAGAACCAGUUUAGAAAGAUGGAGAAGGGGCAGUCCAAGGAAGAAGGACUCCUCCACCCGCUCUUCACCACUUGUCUGUGUUCUUACUGUUAAACUCAACUAAAUUUGCCUUGAGAAUGCUUUGUACAUGAAUCCUCACAUAAUUAACUGCAAGCUAAGUUAGUACUUUCACUAAGGGAUAGUCUAAUCUAGGAGUAUACUUUUAUAACAAAUAGCUGAGUCCUCACCAAUUAUAGCGGCUGAGCUCCAGUUAAUCACAAGAGACCAAGUGUUCAAACAUUUUCAAAUAUGGCAAACUUGGAGCUGCAACCAUGCUCGCUAUUAUCUCAGUGCCACAUUUCCGUUUUCUGACCACAUAUGCUGUCUGACCGUGCAGCAAACUGGGGACCUUUAACUUGAUCUGCUUUGGAUGGCUGCCUGAUUCUAGGAUCAUGAAUAAAAGCUGAUAAAGCUCUUUAAG